GCGUGGCCCCCUUCUCCCCCCGCGUGGCCUCUUUCUCCCUCCGCGUGAGCCCGUCUCUCUCCAGGCCUUGUCUUGCCUGAGCUGGGUUACCAUGUGGUUACCCGGGUGCUCGCUGCUGAGCGGAGCAAGCUGCAGCCCAGCCUGGAUCCGAGGGGAGACCACGGGCCUCAGCGCUUGGCGGGAGCCUGGGCCGAGUGCACCAGGAGCGGCGGGGAGCAAACCCAGGACUCCCAACACCCGUGGCAACGACGCGAGUGUGUCCCUGCCGUUGCUGGAGUGUCACCAGUCAAAUGUCCGGACCCGACACCACCGCGGAGCAUCUGCCUCUGGGUUCAUCUCAGCGGUAAGUCCUCAGCCAGCAGGGGACGGGAACACAGAACCCUCUAGCCUUCCAGGCAGGACGGGCAGCUGGCAGAGGCUGGGAACCCAUCUCAGGACACCUGGGCUGCGGGCUGGGCCCCGGUGUAUCUGGAGAUGCGGGAGGCCCCCUCCUCCUGUGCCUGAAGCGUCCAGACCUGGGUGCUGCCUGGGCCAGUCACCCACUGCCCACGAUGCUCUGUGAACACAGGCCCCAGUGUGAGGCCCAGGAUACUCUGGCCGCCCAGACACGGUACCCUCAGAGAAGCACAGUGGGCCCGCAUCCCGGGUGUGGCAUGACUCCCGGGGACCACAGGGCCUGGCCCCUCACUCAGGCGCCCUCCCGCAGCGCAGGAGGGGCAGGGACUGGGAGCAGGCUCGCCUCUCCCCGCCUGCAGGGGUCCUGGCGGAGGGCGCUCAGGGGAGUUUGGCGAGAGGAGCCCCCAUGGCCCAGGCCCAUCAUCCCUUUCCAGACUCCGCC
RNAcentral lists this long non-coding RNA (838 nucleotides) under Capra hircus (goat). Its description in RNAcentral is "lncRNA (ENSCHIG00010013479.1)". The record is from RNAcentral. Lineage: Eukaryota; Metazoa; Chordata; Mammalia; Artiodactyla; Bovidae.